Molecule: ribosomal RNA, 439 nt
Filed under: Lactobacillus taiwanensis
Lineage: Bacteria; Bacillati; Bacillota; Bacilli; Lactobacillales; Lactobacillaceae
Description: bacterial LSU rRNA
Rfam family: Bacterial large subunit ribosomal RNA
Source: RNAcentral
AUGGUGGGUUGGAAGCAGCAGCCAUUUAAAGGGUGUGCAAGAGCGCACUAGUCGAGUGACGCUGCGCCGCAAAGUGACCGGGGCCAAGCAUAGUACCGAAACUGGGGAUGCAUAUAUUAUAUUCGUGGUAGGAGAGCGUUCUAAGUGCGGUGAAGUUAGAUCGAGAGGACUAAUGGAGCGCUUAGAAGUGAGAAUGCCGGUAUGAGUAGCGAAAGAUAGGUGAGCAUCCUAUCCGCCGAAAGACUAAGGUUUCCUGGGGCAGGCUCGUCCGCCCAGGGUAAGUCGGGACCUAAGGUACGGCAGAGAGGCGUAGCCGAUGGACAACAGGUAGAGAUUCCUGUACUGCACUUGUUAGAUAAGAGCAACGGAGGGACGCAGGCGGCUAAUGACGACUGUGUCAGGAAAUACAUGUGACAGCAGUACGAACACAGAUGAGACA